This is a long non-coding RNA of Podarcis muralis (Common wall lizard), 1153 nucleotides long. RefSeq lists it as uncharacterized. NCBI's taxonomy places the organism in Eukaryota, Metazoa, Chordata, Lepidosauria, Squamata, Lacertidae. The record is from RefSeq and is a predicted model, not a curated record.
AAUAUCUGAGAGAAAGGAAGCAGGGAUGAGUGUGCUAGCUCUGACCUCAUCCCCACCACCUUCGGUGAGCAGAAGGAUGACUGUGUAAUAUGAGGGAUAUACAUGGAAAAUUAGAGUUGUGCAUUGUGCACAGAGUCUACAUGAGUACAUGCAAUCUCUCUACUUCAGACAAUCUGCCUUCAAGUCUUGGAAGAGUAACAGUAAUGAAGAUGGGCAGAAUUUGCACACCUGAUGAGUGGAACAUCUCAUAAUGUGAUGGAAGUGCUCUCCAGGUGGUGGUAUGCACUGAACACACCUGCUGGGCAUGGUGUUCUGCAGUGCAGAAGCAGCAUCUCUUGUGGAUAAGAUCUUGUUGGAUCUCAAAAGAUGGAAAUGUGAAGGAAGACUCUAGUGGAACCGAGGGUGGCAAGGGAACCCCAAUCAGAACAGAAGAUGACCUGCAGCAGAACAGAACCAACACAACAUCUGACAAAUACAGAGUAGAAGAGAAAAUGAUGCCUUCACAGAAAGAGUCAAAGACCCACUUUUGAAUAUAGUAAGAUUAUAUCUCCCCUGUGGGUGAAAUCUAAAUUACAUCUUGUCCUCAAGGCAAUCACCGUUUUUUUGUUAUGUAAGUUUGUUAGUAGCCCACAAUGGGUGCAGAGCUAUUGCAAUUAGAUAACUAAGCUAAUACAACUCAUGAGUCAUGAAUUCUGACACUUAGAAUUUCUAGGUUAAGGGAUUACUGAUAAUUUGGCCAGGAAUUUUUAAUUGCACCAGCAGGUCCUCUGGUUGCCAUAAUUAAAAGCGUUCUCUCCCUGCUUUAGCCAAAUAAUUGCUGCAAGAACCACAGGUUGUGGUUAUGUGCACUGCCCAGCUGAUUCCUGGACGUGCUAUUGUAGGACCAACAUGAAGAACGGAACGGCUCCUGCCAUUAUUAUAUGCACACAUGACUUUUUCGAGCAACUGUGUUUCACAGCAACUGCUUGAGAGAUGAGGUCACGCAGUUGAAAGUAAUGAAUCGUGCAAAACAAAUGCAGAUGGCUGCAGUCAUAGUUUAUAGUCUCUUGCAACUUAAUUUGAAGUGUUCACCCAUUGGGGAGCCUUUUGUUAUUUGAAAAAGGUUUAACUGCAAAUGAUAAGACUGAUAAAUCUAUGGAGAUUGCGGGGGGAG